This 719-nucleotide long non-coding RNA is filed under the name Numida meleagris (helmeted guineafowl). RNAcentral's name for it is "lncRNA (ENSNMEG00000014987.1)". Lineage: Eukaryota; Metazoa; Chordata; Aves; Galliformes; Numididae. The record is from RNAcentral.
AAGACGUGUACUCAACUAGCUGUGGUCAUCUGCUUCUGCAGUGCUGCAGGGCUGCCAGGGCCUCCAGGCCAGCUCCAGGCUCACUACACAAGUGACCUCUCUGCAGCUGUUGUCAGGACUUGGGUUCAUCUGGGGCAAAAAGACAUGAGGGCUCCCCAUACACAGGUUUCUCUGGAAGGCUCCUGGCUGUAACAGCAACGCUCCCUCCCACUUGCCCUGAGGCCCCCAUUAUCAGCAAGCUUGCAGCAAACCACCCCUGUCCAUGCAAACCCACAGUGUGAAACUGGAAAUUGAGAAAUAAAUUGUGGAGGUAAACUCUAUUCCCAGAGGCUGAACCCACUGCUGCAGUGGCCGCAGAGAAACAAAACCCACAUGUAAAAUGAGGAGCAAGCCAACAGCAGUGUGUACUUCCACAGCUGCUCAACAUAACUUCAAACAAGAAGCACCGGCUCCAAGACAGGAGGAAAGGGGGAAAUCACAUUCCUUUCUCAGGCCAUUUUAGUUAUUACCUGCUGUGACUGUAAAACUGAAGUUUUCCACCAAGAGAUUUCGAGAGACUCACCACCCCCAGGACCAGCUCCCGAGGAGAUGCAGGCAUCACAGCUGCUGCCUCCUCCUGCCACCUCUCCCAGGCAUUUUCUGAACAGCCUCUCUCAAGUCAUGUGCGAAGACAGCCCUGGCUCCCACGAAGGGGCACCUUCCUGGCUGCCCCACAGAGC